This 2894-nucleotide ribosomal RNA is filed under the name Coleofasciculus sp. FACHB-125. Its description in RNAcentral is "23S ribosomal RNA". It matches the Rfam family "Bacterial large subunit ribosomal RNA". The record is from RNAcentral. Lineage: Bacteria; Bacillati; Cyanobacteriota; Cyanophyceae; Coleofasciculales; Coleofasciculaceae.
AUGUGGUCAAGCUACAAAGAGCUUAUGGUGGAUCCCUCGGCACACAGAGGCGAUGAAGGACGUGGCGACCGACGAAACGCUCCGGGGAGCUGGAAGCAAGCAAUGAGCCGGAGAUAUCCGAAUGGGGCAACCCCAAAGAACUAACUGCUGAAUCCAUAGGCAGUAAAGAGCCAACCCAGUGAACUGAAACAUCUUAGUAGCUGGAGGAAAAGAAAUCAAAAGAGAUUCCCUGAGUAGUGGUGAGCGAAACGGGAAGAGCCUAAACCAUCAAGCAUGCUUGGUGGGGUAGUGGGACAGCAACGUGGGACUCGAGAAGUUAGACAAAGCAACUGAAAACUGCACCAGAGAAGGUAAAAGUCCUGUAGUCGAAAGCUUCAAAAGCCCUAGCUGAAUCCCGAGUAGCACGGGGCACGUGAAAUCCCGUGUGAAUCAGCCGAGACCACUCGGUAAGGCUAAAUACUACUGUGUGACCAAUAGCGAACCAGUACCGCGAGGGAAAGGUGAAAAGAACCCCGGAAGGGGAGUGAAAUAGAACGUGAAACCGUAAGCUUACAAGCAAUGGAAGCUCGAUUGAACGAGUGACCGUGUGCCUGUUGAAGAAUGAGCCGGCGACUUAUAAGCAGUGGCAGGUCAAAGCAUUCAAUGCUCAAGCCAAAGCGAAAGCGAGUCUGAAAAGGGCGAUAAGUCACUGUUUAUAGACCCGAACCCGGGUGAUCUAACCAUGUCCAGGAUGAAGCUUGGGUAACACCAAGUGGAGGUCCGAACCGACUGAUGUUGAAAAAUCAGCGGAUGAGGUGUGGUUAGGGGUGAAAUGCCAAUCGAACCCGGAGCUAGCUGGUUCUCCCCGAAAUGUGUUGAGGCGCAGCGGUUGUGAUUAUAGUCUGGGGGUAAAGCACUGUUUCGGUGCGGGCUGCGAGAGCGGUACCAAAUCGAGACAAACUCAGAAUACCAGAUGCACACACAGCCAGUGAGACGGUGGGGGAUAAGCUUCAUCGUCAAGAGGGAAACAGCCCAGACCACCAGCUAAGGCCCCCAAAUGGUCACUAAGUGAUUAAGGAGGUGGGAGUGCAAAGACAACCAGGAGGUUUGCCUAGAAGCAGCCAUCCUUGAAAGAGUGCGUAAUAGCUCACUGGUCAAGCGCUCCUGCGCCGAAAAUGAACGGGGCUAAGUGACAUGCCGAAGCUGUGGGAUAUAUAAAGUAUCGGUAGGGGAGCGUUCCGCAGUAGUGAGAAGCACUAGCGACAAGCAGGUGUGGACGAAACGGAAGUGAGAAUGUCGGCUUGAGUAGCGCAAACAUUGGUGAGAAUCCAAUGCCCCGAAACCCCAAGGGUUCCUCCGGAAGGCUCGUCCGCGGAGGGUUAGUCAGGGCCUAAGGCGAGGCAGAAAUGCGUAGUCGAUGGACAACGGGUCAACAAUCCCGUACCAGUAAUUGUUGGUGCAGAGGGACGGAGAAGGCAAGAGCCAGCCGGAUGUUGGUUACCGGUUCAAGCGUUCGAGGUGAUGAGGGACGGAGAAAACGGCCCGAGCUAAGGCGCGAGUACGACCCCCUACGGGGGGGAAGUGGUAUCAGUCAAGCUUCCAAGAAAAGCUCUAAACACCAUAAAUAAUUACCGCCUGUACCCGAAACCGACACAGGUGGGGAGGUUGAGAAUACCAAGGGGCGCGAGAUAACUCUCUCUAAGGAACUCGGCAAAAUGACCCCGUAACUUCGGGAGAAGGGGUGCCUUCAGAAAUGAAGGUCGCAGUGAAGAGAUCCAGGCGACUGUUUACCAAAAACACAGGUCUCCGCUAAGUCGCAAGACGAUGUAUGGGGGCUGACGCCUGCCCAGUGCCGGAAGGUUAAAGAAGUCGGUUAGGCGCAAGCCGAAGCUGGCGACUGAAGCCCCGGUGAACGGCGGCCGUAACUAUAACGGUCCUAAGGUAGCGAAAUUCCUUGUCGGGUAAGUUCCGACCCGCACGAAAGGCGUAACGAUCUGGAUGCUGUCUCGGAGAGAGGCUCGGCGAAAUAGGAAUGUCUGUGAAGAUACGGACUGCCUGCACCAGGACAGAAAGACCCUAUGAAGCUUUACUGUAGCCUGGAAUGGUGUUCGGGCUUCGCUUGCGCAGGAUAGGUGGGAGGCGUUGAAGUACCCCUUGUGGGGGGUAUGGAGCCAACGGUGAGAUACCACUCUGGCGAGGCUAGAAUUCUAACCUUGACCCCUGAAUCGGGGCGAGGAACAGUUUCAGGUGGGCAGUUUGACUGGGGCGGUCGCCUCCUAAAAGGUAACGGAGGCGCGCAAAGGUUCCCUCAGCCUGGUUGGAAACCAGGCGGCGAGUGUAAAGGCAAAAGGGAGCUUGACUGCAAGAGCUACAACUCAAGCAGGGACGAAAGUCGGCCUUAGUGAUCCGACGGCACCGCGUGGAAGGGCCGUCGCUCAACGGAUAAAAGUUACUCUAGGGAUAACAGGCUGAUCUCCCCCAAGAGUUCACAUCGACGGGGAGGUUUGGCACCUCGAUGUCGGCUCAUCGCAACCUGGGGCGGAAGUACGUCCCAAGGGUUGGGCUGUUCGCCCAUUAAAGCGGUACGUGAGCUGGGUUCAGAACGUCGUGAGACAGUUCGGUCCAUAUCCGGUGCAGGCGUAAGAGCAUUGAGAGGAUCCCUCCUUAGUACGAGAGGACCGGGAGGGACGCACCGCUGGUGUACCAGUUAUCGUGCCAACGGUAAACGCUGGGUAGCCAAGUGCGGAGCGGAUAACCGCUGAAAGCAUCUAAGUGGGAAGCCCACCUCAAGAUGAGUGCUCUCAUGGAAAUAAUCCAGUAAGGUCACAGGAAGAACACCUGUAAAUAGGCGCCAGGUGGAAGUGCAGCAAUGUAUGCAGCCGAAGCGUCCUAAUAGACCGAGGGCUUGACCUCAA